GGCUUAACCAUUGUUCGCUUUGGAAACUGUUAAACUUGAGUGCAGAAGGGGAGAGUGGAAUUCCAUGUGUAGCGGUGAAAUGCGUAGAUAUAUGGAGGAACACCGGUGGCGAAAGCGGCUCUCUGGUCUGUAACUGACGCUGAGGCUCGAAAGCGUGGGGAGCAAACAGGAUUAGAUACC
This 180-nucleotide ribosomal RNA is filed under the name Streptococcus pasteurianus. RNAcentral's name for it is "partial 16S ribosomal RNA". It matches the Rfam family "Bacterial small subunit ribosomal RNA", at positions 606 to 786 of the family's 1533-position model. Lineage: Bacteria; Bacillati; Bacillota; Bacilli; Lactobacillales; Streptococcaceae. The record is from RNAcentral.